Molecule: long non-coding RNA, 751 nt
Organism: Mauremys reevesii (Reeves's turtle)
Lineage: Eukaryota; Metazoa; Chordata; Testudines; Geoemydidae
Exons: 3
Source: RefSeq, a predicted model, not a curated record
GUACCAAAAAACAGACCUGUCUCAGCUCCUUGCUCAGGGGCUGGGGCCUAGGCCCAGUUACACGGCCUGUACACAGAGAAUAAACAAACAAAUGGACCAAAAAGCAGAUGGACCAAAAGCAUAAGGCAGCCGCCCUGCUUAGAAAGUUGGGCUUCCAGCUCUUCUUCCUGGAAUCAUGGACCCGUGUGUAAGUCUGUGGAUGUGAGUGGCAUCAACUGAGGCCACUGAGAAUUGCACACGUGUGGGGAAAAGAGGCAACUGUUGCAGUCAGGAAGCAUCUAGAGGGUGGGGUCUUUGGGACACCAAGAAAUUAUGGAGCUUUUGAAAUUUUGAGAGGACACAACCUCCCUGCCUUCCUCCUCUGCAUCAUAGUUGUGAGGAAUAGUACUAAAACUGCAUUUCGAGGAGGAGUCCCCAGAUACCAAGCCAGAAUCCUCAGCCAGCAUCUUUGAAUAUUAACCUGCCCCUGAAUAAGCAAUGUAUGAUGUAGUGUGUUAACAUGUAGUGUAACUUUGCCUUAAUAAAAAUAAAUCGUCCCCUCUACCACACACAUUUUCCAGGAAUGUAAUCUACUGUUUCAGCCUAACUCAGAGUUCUCUUUCAUUUAUGGAUUCUAAUUGCUCUGGCCUAGUAAUCUCCACCCCCAUUCAGCUGCAUGCAGCUCAGGUGUAUGGGGAAGAGGGCAGAUACACACUUCUGUUUUCAUGUUGGAGUGAGGUGUAGCAGUCGGAGAGGGGGCUGAUGACAGUAU